Long non-coding RNA from Cebus imitator (Panamanian white-faced capuchin), 1337 nucleotides. RefSeq lists it as uncharacterized. The transcript has 3 exons. Lineage: Eukaryota; Metazoa; Chordata; Mammalia; Primates; Cebidae. The record is from RefSeq and is a predicted model, not a curated record.
AGAGGCAGCUAUCAGAGGCAGUGGGAAACUUGAAAUUGGUAGUUGAGAAAAUACACACCUACAAGUGACUUCAGUGACUGCACACCAACCUCUUGGGAAACCUCUGUUGGAGUGUUUUGUUUUUAACUUUUGUACAAUGUUUGGACCCAAUUAACACAGAAAGACAACCAAAUGGUCAGAGGACAUAUUUGCAGAGAGAGAGAGAAUUCACGCAAGAAAAAACAAAGUACUUUAAGAUUUACCAGUGACCAAAAACUAUGACUCGACUGCUGGGCAGACUGUGUGGAAACUCGGUUCACACAAACUUUUCUAGGGAUGGUCGUCAUCAUCCUUAGGAAAGUGAAUUCUGGUGGCAUCAAUCACAUCCUUAAAAAGGACUGUGCCUGUUUAUAAGCCCAGUUGUUCCUGCCCUGUGAAAUAUGGUAAGGAUAUUAGUACAAGGAGAAUAGAGAUUUAUGAUAAGUGAUGUUCAAUGAAGGAUGAUUUAAGGACAUACUAAGAGUAGGUAAGGAAAUUGUCAACUUAGAACCCAGCAGGCAUUAAAUAAUAGAUGAGGAAUCAAUAUAGCAACAGUUUUUUUUUAAUCAUACUGUACUUUUAUAACCAUGUGAAAUGUGUUUUCUAUCUAUGGAUAUGUUGCGUAAGGGUACAGAUGUGAGGGUAACCAGAACAUGGCAGAUUAUUUAAAAUCAUCCUGAAAAUGGCACUUUACCUGAUAAAAGUGAUUCUAAACCAUAGAAAAAUGAUGGAAGACACAGAAGAGCAGCAGAGGUAGGUAGAGAACUACUGCAGGUGCCAGGUAAGGAGCCUUCUUCCCAGCAGUUGCAGAAUCCUUCAGCACUGAUGCAAAUAAUAUCGUGGUCCUUAGACUCCUUAAACAUACGGUUUCUCAUGUGUUGGCUUUUUCAGAUCACCACUUCUGAAAGAAAGGCUCAUGACAACUGGGUAAGCUUUUUUUUUUCUUUCCUUGCUUUUGGGCAUAGUCUGCCAGGUCAGGACGUGGAUGUAUUUUUCUCCCCACAGCUCUGUGUUUAAGCCUUGCAGAGGGAGAUGGAAGAGAAGGCUGCCUACGAGCAGCACAGACAGGAAAUGAUUGAAAAACAGAGUGCUGGAGAGACACAUUAGUCAGGAGCCAGCUAGUGGACGACCAGGCCUAGAGAAUCCUCCCUGGAGAGCCCUUUCCCAGUUCCCCUGCAGGACUUCAGGAAUUCACAUCUCUCCAGAGAUCUUUGUGCCCAUGGGUUGUACCUCCAGAGUGGAGAAGACCCUUUGUUAGGAAGGGAGGCAGAGGGGGACAAGAGGGUCUUACAGGUUGAGCUGGGAUCAAUUUCCACUCC